This 497-nucleotide ribosomal RNA is filed under the name uncultured bacterium. RNAcentral describes it as "partial 16S ribosomal RNA". It matches the Rfam family "Bacterial small subunit ribosomal RNA", at positions 28 to 507 of the family's 1533-position model. The record is from RNAcentral.
GAUGAACGCUGGCGGCGUGCCUAAUACAUGCAAGUCGAGCGAACAGACGAGGAGCUUGCUCCUUUGACGUUAGCGGCGGACGGGUGAGUAACACGUGGGUAACCUACCUAUAAGACUGGGAUAACUUCGGGAAACCGGAGCUAAUACCGGAUAAUAUUUCGAACCGCAUGGUUCGAUAGUGAAAGAUGGCUUUGCUAUCACUUAUAGAUGGACCUGCGCCGUAUUAGCUAGUUGGUAAGGUAACGGCUUACCAAGGCAACGAUACGUAGCCGACCUGAGAGGGUGAUCGGCCACACUGGAACUGAGACACGGUCCAGACUCCUACGGGAGGCAGCAGUAGGGAAUCUUCCGCAACGGGCGAAAGCCUGACGGAGCAACGCCGCGUGAGUGAUGAAGGUCUUCGGAUCGUAAAACUCUGUUAUUAGGGAAGAACAAACGUGUAAGUAACUGUGCACGUCUUGACGGUACCUAAUCAGAAAGCCACGGCUAACUACGUG